UUACCAAAAGUUAAUUUGGUGAGGGAAGGUUGUAUUAAUAACCUUUACCAAGCUGGGCUGUUUGGGAGAGUAAACACGACCACACUCCACAGUGGGCUAUAUCACUUAGUAUAGUUCACUACUAUUUUGUGGCCUACAUU
Molecule: small nucleolar RNA, 140 nt
Organism: Otolemur garnettii (small-eared galago)
Lineage: Eukaryota; Metazoa; Chordata; Mammalia; Primates; Galagidae
Source: Ensembl